GGUUGUAGUUCAGUGGUAGAGCACUUGCUUAGAAUGUGUGAGGUCCUGGGUUCGAUCCUCAGCACCA
This 67-nucleotide transfer RNA is filed under the name Marmota monax (woodchuck). RNAcentral's name for it is "tRNA.Ser". It matches the Rfam family "tRNA". Rfam says of the family: Transfer RNA (tRNA) molecules are approximately 80 nucleotides in length. The record is from RNAcentral. Lineage: Eukaryota; Metazoa; Chordata; Mammalia; Rodentia; Sciuridae.